AGAAAAGUAAUGUGGAGUUCAUGCCUGCUUCAGUCAGCUUAAUCAGUGGCUGAAUAAAUAGCAGUACUCCUACAUUA
RNAcentral lists this small nucleolar RNA (77 nucleotides) under Sorex araneus (European shrew). Its description in RNAcentral is "Small nucleolar RNA SNORA58 (ENSSARG00000018454.1)". The record is from RNAcentral. Lineage: Eukaryota; Metazoa; Chordata; Mammalia; Eulipotyphla; Soricidae.